RNAcentral lists this ribosomal RNA (253 nucleotides) under uncultured bacterium. RNAcentral's name for it is "partial 16S ribosomal RNA". It matches the Rfam family "Bacterial small subunit ribosomal RNA", at positions 524 to 777 of the family's 1533-position model. The record is from RNAcentral.
UACGUAGGGCGCAAGCGUGUCCGGAAUUAUUGGGCGUAAAGAGCUCUAGGCGGCUUGUCACGUCGGGUGUGAAAUCCCUCGGCUUAACCGAGGAACUGCCCUCCAAACUGCUUGGCUUGAGUCCGGGAGAGGUGAGUGGAAUUCCCAGUGUAGACGGUGAAAUGCGUAGAUAUUGGGAGGAACACCAGUGGCGAAGGCGGCUCACUGGACCGGACUGACGCUGAGGCGCGAAAGCGUCGGGGAGCAAACGGGG